This 497-nucleotide ribosomal RNA is filed under the name uncultured bacterium. Its description in RNAcentral is "partial 16S ribosomal RNA". It matches the Rfam family "Bacterial small subunit ribosomal RNA", at positions 28 to 507 of the family's 1533-position model. The record is from RNAcentral.
GACGAACGCUGGCGGCGUGCCUAAUACAUGCAAGUUGAGCGCUGAAGGUUGGUACUUGUACCAACUGGAUGAGCAGCGAACGGGUGAGUAACGCGUGGGGAAUCUGCCUUUGAGCGGGGGACAACAUUUGGAAACGAAUGCUAAUACCGCAUAAAAACUUUAAACACAAGUUUUAAGUUUGAAAGAUGCAAUUGCAUCACUCAAAGAUGAUCCCGCGUUGUAUUAGCUAGUUGGUGAGGUAAAGGCUCGCCAAGGCGAUGAUACAUAGCCGACCUGAGAGGGUGAUCGGCCACAUUGGGACUGAGACACGGCCCAAACUCCUACGGGAGGCAGCAGUAGGGAAUCUUCGGCAAUGGACGAAAGUCUGACCGAGCAACGCCGCGUGAGUGAAGAAGGUUUUCGGACCGUAAAACUCUGUUGGUAGAGAAGAACGUUGGUGAGAGUGGAAAGCUCAUCAAGUGACGGUAACUACCCAGAAAGGGACGGCUAACUACGUG